This 311-nucleotide ribosomal RNA is filed under the name uncultured bacterium. Its description in RNAcentral is "bacterial SSU rRNA". It matches the Rfam family "Bacterial small subunit ribosomal RNA", at positions 30 to 334 of the family's 1533-position model. The record is from RNAcentral.
AUUGAACGCUGGCGGCAUGCCUAACACAUGCAAGUCGAACGGAAACGAUGGGAGCUUGCCUCCCAGGCGUCGAGUGGCGGACAGGUGAGUAAUACAUAGGAAUCUACCCAGUAGGCGGGGACAACGUUGGGGAAACUCAAGCUAAUACCGCAUACCGCCCCACGGGGGAAAGCAGGGGAUCUUCGGACCUUGCACUAUUGGAUGAGCCUAUGUCAGAUUAGCUUGUUGGUGGGGUAACGGCCUACCAAGGCGACGAUCUGUAGCUGGUCUGAGAGGACGAUCAGCCACACUGGGACUGAGACACGGCCCAG